GAUGAACGCUGGCGGCGUGCCUAAUACAUGCAAGUCGAGCGAACGGACGAGAAGCUUGCUUCUCUGAUGUUGUCGGCGGACGGGUGAGUAACACGUGGAUAACCUACCUAUAAGACUGGGAUAACUUCGGGAAACCGGAGCUCAUACCGGAUAAUAUUUUGAACCUCAUGGUUCAAAAGUGAAAGACGGUCUUUCUGUCACUUAUAGAUGGAUUCGGGCUGGAUUAGCUAGUUGGUAAGGUAACGGCUUACCAAGGCAACGAUGCAUAGCCGACCUGAGAGGGUGAUCGGCCACACUGUAACUGAGACACGGUCCAGACUCCUACGGGAGGCAGCAGUAGGGAAUCUUCCGCAAUGGGCGAAAGCCUAACGGAGCAACGCCGCGUGAGUGAUGAAGGUCUUCUGAUCGUAAAACUCUGUUAUUAGGGAAGAACAUAUGUUUAAUUAACUGUGCACAUCUUGACGGUACCUAAUCAGAAAGCCACGGCUAACUACGUG
This 497-nucleotide ribosomal RNA is filed under the name uncultured bacterium. RNAcentral describes it as "partial 16S ribosomal RNA". It matches the Rfam family "Bacterial small subunit ribosomal RNA", at positions 28 to 507 of the family's 1533-position model. The record is from RNAcentral.